GUGUGUGUGUGUGUGUGUGUGUGUGUGUGUGUGUGUGUGUGUCCCGCUGGGAGGCUCACACUCACCCACAC
Molecule: microRNA precursor, 71 nt
Filed under: Echinops telfairi (small Madagascar hedgehog)
Lineage: Eukaryota; Metazoa; Chordata; Mammalia; Afrosoricida; Tenrecidae
Description: miRNA (ENSETEG00000023729.1)
Source: RNAcentral